AGAAAAGUUGCAACUACAUCUAAAGAUGCCAUUAUUUUUAUCAACAUACAAGUGUAUGCUACUCAUCCCUAGAAAAAAAAUUAAAAUAUACGAAUUUCAAAGAUUUUACAACCGUAUUUUUGUGUCGUUUCUCGCGUUAUUUUUUGCUUCCGAAGAGCAUAACGCUGACUGAUUUAUAGAUAAUCGUCACCGGCAAAUUCGUAACUUUUGCUUUCAAAUAACAAAGAACAUCGACCAAUAAGAAUAGUGGGAAGAAAAUGCCGAGAACUAUAAGUAUUUAUGUAGCAGAUGUAAGAACAGUGGCGUGAUUUUUGUGUCCGAUUUCGUAACGCAAUUUUUAGAUGAUGUAAUCUGCUUUGUUGUAAUAGAAUUUUUAAAAACAAUAUGCAAAUAUGAACUCUCGCGAGAUGUUCAAACAGGUAAAUCCGAGAUGAUUUACAUUCUUGUUUUGAUCUUCGUAAUAAUUGAGUAAGAAAAUUACGUUAUCGUUAUGCGUUACAUUUCACACGAAACAGAAGUCCAGUUAUUUAUUAAAAUUGUUUUUGUCCUUAAGUUCUAAUCAUUUCCGGUCAUACGUGAAACAUGUGACUAACAUGUGAUAACGCCAUUACGGCCGGAUGUACGAAAUACUAGGUCUAAACAUUGUUUUUGUUUCCAACGGGAUGUUAGCAAACUUUAUCUGUAGACUUGUUUCGUCUUGUUUAAAAGAGGAAAAUACAAUUGUCAAAGAGAUUGCGCCGAUGGUCUGUUAUUUCUCCUAUGUGCAUAAUGUUACAUACGAUCCUGUGUGAAAAUAAAUGCCCAAUGACUUGACAAAAUCGAUUUCAUAUUUGACAGACGUUAGAACACACUUCGUUUCCCGAUAAUGACGUGAAGAGUCCUUGGAAAAAUCAAUCGAAAUUACGUCUCUUAUCAUUGUACCAAUGCUCUUUGGAUUGAUUUAACUUCAGCAGUAAAUAUUACUGGAUAUUUUAGGUGAAUAAAUAUAAUUUAAUAAAAAAAUACAUGUUAAUAUACCGU
This 1020-nucleotide long non-coding RNA is filed under the name Mytilus galloprovincialis (Mediterranean mussel). Lineage: Eukaryota; Metazoa; Mollusca; Bivalvia; Mytilida; Mytilidae. The record is from RNAcentral.